GACGAACGCUGGCGGCGUGCUUAACACAUGCAAGUCGAGCGGAAAGGCCCUGCUUUUGUGGGGUGCUCGAUUGGCGAACGGGUGAGUAAAACGUGAGUAAACUGCCCUUGACUUUGGGAUAACUUCUGGGAACUCGGGCUAAUACCCGAUAGGAGCUCCUGAUGCAUGGGGGGCGUUGGAAAGUUUCGGCGGUUGGGGAUGGUCUCGCGGCUUCUCUGCUUGGUGGUGGGGUAGUGGCUUACCAAGGCUUUGACGGGUAGCCUGCCUGAGAGGGUGACCGGCCACAUUGGGUAUGGGAUACGGCCGAGACGCCUACGGGGGGAAGCGGGGGAGAAUAUUGCACAAUGGGCGGAAGCGUGAUGCAGCAACGCCGCGUGCGGGAUGACGGCAUUCGGGUUGUAAACCGCUGUCGCCAGUGACGAAGCGUGAGUGACGGUAAAGGGUAAAGAAGCACCGGCUAACUACG
This 466-nucleotide ribosomal RNA is filed under the name uncultured bacterium. RNAcentral's name for it is "partial 16S ribosomal RNA". It matches the Rfam family "Bacterial small subunit ribosomal RNA", at positions 28 to 505 of the family's 1533-position model. The record is from RNAcentral.